CUGCUGCCUCCCGUAGGAGUCUGGGCCGUGUCUCAGUCCCAAUGUGGCCGAUCAACCUCUCAGUCCGGCUACCGAUCGUCGCCUUGGUGGGCCGUUGCCCCACCAACUAGCUAAUCGGCCGCGAGCCCAUCUUCCAGCGGAUUGCUCCUUUGGCUGCAUCGGGAUGCCCCAUCGCAGCGUUAUGCGGUAUUAGCAGUCGUUUCCAACUGUUAUCCCCCUCUGAAAGGCAGGUUGCUCA
RNAcentral lists this ribosomal RNA (238 nucleotides) under uncultured bacterium. RNAcentral describes it as "partial 16S ribosomal RNA". The record is from RNAcentral.